This 76-nucleotide small RNA is filed under the name Flavobacterium chilense. RNAcentral describes it as "Flavo-1 RNA". It matches the Rfam family "Flavo-1 RNA". The record is from RNAcentral. Lineage: Bacteria; Pseudomonadati; Bacteroidota; Flavobacteriia; Flavobacteriales; Flavobacteriaceae.
UUCUAGCCCUGAUAGAAGCGGUAUCCUUUUAUGGCGGGGUUCGCCAUAAAAGAUAUAGCGUAUAGCAGGAAGAAGC